RNAcentral lists this long non-coding RNA (697 nucleotides) under Homo sapiens (human). RNAcentral's name for it is "long non-coding RNA NONHSAT148984.1". Lineage: Eukaryota; Metazoa; Chordata; Mammalia; Primates; Hominidae. The record is from RNAcentral.
UGGCCAGUGAGUGCUGCAGGAUACUGGAGGGAGGGCAACAGAGAGGAAGGUGGUACCAUAAAAAAGUAUAUCAUAGACAUGUUUGAUCCGAGACGGAAGGUUCCAGAGUAAGUGACAACUAAGCAGAGAUCUUAAAGAUGUGGGAAGACCUACAUGUCUAUGUUCAGAAGCUGCCUUGAUGCCACAUGCGGGAGGCUGGAAACGCUGAAGGAUGACCACUGCUCAGCAGCAGUCUACCAGUGAUGGAUGAGAGUUGGUGCACAAAUACCCCAGCUCCCUUGCCUCUCAGUUUGGAUAAUCCUGAAAAGGCCCAGCAAGAAAUGAUUCCAAGAUCACCUAGCUGAUCUCAUGCUCUAUCUGGAUUUGAGUGAAGAUAUACAUAUUCACCAAGUCUUGACUCAGUCACCUUUUGUGCAGGCCCAAUAGAAGCAAAUGCAGGUAUGAUCUGGAGAAGCAUAUCUUGAAUCUCAAAAAGUCAGGACAGACAACACCAUAAGAAACAGCAGGGGGAAAAGAAAAAAGCAGAAUCAGGCUCAGAACUACAGGCACCUUCAGAGGGCAGUGUUCCAUUUUAUUGAGGGAGAUCUGAAGAGAUGAAGUGACUUGCCAGAGCACAGGUCCAGUAAGUGUCAGGUUUCAAGUUCUUUGAGUUGAGAUUCAGUCAUUUGAAAGCCAUUUAUCUAGUGGAAUAACACCC